CUCCAGCCUGGGUGACAGAGCAAGACUUUGUCUCGAAAAUAAUAAUAAUAAUAAUAAUAAUCAUGAGGCUUUAAAUAUUUUUAUUUUGCUUACUCCCUUCCCCCUUCCCCCAUACACACACACACACACACAGUUCCUCCUCUGGCAAUCCUGUUGACGACUAAGUAUGUGUCCCAUAGUUUUCUAUGCUCAUGAAACCAGACACACCUAGACAUCUAUAGGGUCUUGCCAAUGCAGGUGACAAUAUUUUUGCAUCUUAGCUUUUCAAAAAUGUUUAUUUUUAGAGACAGGGUCCCAAUCUAUAACUCAAGCUGGAGUGCAGUGGCACAAUCAUAGCUCACUGCAGCCUUAAACUCCUGCCCUCAAGCAAUCCUCUCACCUGGGCCUACCAAAGUGCUGGAAUCACAGGCAUGAGUCACCAUGCCUGGCUGCAACUUAACUUUCUUACUCAAUGACAAGCUUAUUAUUUUUUUAAGACAUUUACUUAGCAAACACUUUUUUUUUUUUUUUUUUGAGAUGGAGUUUUGCUCUGUCACCCAGGCUGGAGUGCAGUGGCGCCAUCUUGGCUCACUGCAACCUGCACCUCCCAGGUUCAAGCAAUUCUCCUGCCUCAGCCUCCCAAGUAGCUGGGACUACAGGUGUGUGCCAUCACACCCGGCUAAUUUUUGUAUUUUUAGUAGAGACGGGGUUUCGCCAUGUUGGCCAGUCUGGUCUUGAACCCCUGACCUCAGGUGAUCCACCUUCCUCGGCCUCCCAAAGUGCUGGGAUUACAGGCAUGAGCCACUGCGCCCAGCUGACAUUUUUAUACACAUGGCCACAUUGUCCCCCAGAGGGGUACAAGUUUCCCCGACUUCAGCAGUGCAUGAGCCAGCAUUUCCUCACAUCUUCAGCAACACAGCCAGCUUUGAUCCUUGCCAAUCGUAAGGUGGAAAAAUGGAUUCUCUGAGUAGUUAUCAUUUACAUUUAUCGUGAAGGAGGCUGAACACUUUUUUUGUGUUUAACAGCCGUUUGUGGCCGGGCACAGUGGCUCUUGCCUGUAAUCACAGUACUUUGGGAGGCUGAGGCGGGUGGAUCACCUCAGGUUCAAAAUCUGUCAACAUGGUGAAACCCUGUCUCUACUAAAAAUACAAGUUAGCCAGGUGUGAUGGCACCUGCCUGUAAUCCCAGUUACUUGGGAGGCUGAGGCAGAAGAAUCGUUUGAACCUGGGAGGUGGAGGCUGCAGUGAGCCAAGAUCGCACCACUGCACUCCAACGUGAGGGACAGCAAGACUCUAUCUCAAAAAAAGAAAAAAAAGCUGGCUGGGCGCAGUGGCUCACACCUGCAAUCCCAGCUCUUUGGGAGGUUGAGGCAGGUGGAUCAUGAGGUGAGGAGUUCAAGACCAGCCUGACCAACAUGGUGAAACCCCAUCUCUA
Molecule: long non-coding RNA, 1413 nt
Filed under: Homo sapiens (human)
Lineage: Eukaryota; Metazoa; Chordata; Mammalia; Primates; Hominidae
Description: HSALNT0354964
Source: RNAcentral